CUUGGCACUAGAAGCCGAUGAAGGACGUUACUAACGACGAUAUGCUUUGGGGAGCUGUAAGUAAGCUUUGAUCCAGAGAUUUCCGAAUGGGGAAACCCAGCAUGAGUUAUGUCAUGUUAUCGAUAUGUGAAUACAUAGCAUAUCAGAAGGCACACCCGGAGAACUGAAACAUCUUAGUACCCGGAGGAAGAGAAAGAAAAUUCGAUUCCCUUAGUAGCGGCGAGCGAAACGGGAAGAGCCCAAACCAACAAGCUUGCUUGUUGGGGUUGUAGGACACUCUAUACGGAGUUACAAAGGACGACAUUAGACGAAUCAUCUGGAAAGAUGAAUCAAAGAAGGUAAUAAUCCUGUAGUCGA
Molecule: ribosomal RNA, 357 nt
Filed under: Staphylococcus aureus
Lineage: Bacteria; Bacillati; Bacillota; Bacilli; Caryophanales; Staphylococcaceae
Description: partial 23S ribosomal RNA
Rfam family: Bacterial large subunit ribosomal RNA
Source: RNAcentral